This 509-nucleotide ribosomal RNA is filed under the name fungal isolate from Newtonia buchananii wood. RNAcentral's name for it is "eukaryotic LSU rRNA". The stretch from base 153 to 306 matches the Rfam family "5.8S ribosomal RNA". Lineage: Eukaryota; Fungi. The record is from RNAcentral.
GGAUCAUUACCGAGUGCGGGCCCUCUGGGUCCAACCUCCCAUCCGUGUCUAUCUGUACCCUGUUGCUUCGGCGUGGCCACGGCCCGCCGAAGACUAACAUUUGAACACUGUCUGAAGUUUGCAGUCUGAGUUUUUAGUUAAACAAUAAUUAAAACUUUCAACAACGGAUCUCUUGGUUCCGGCAUCGAUGAAGAACGCAGCGAAAUGCGAUAAUUAAUGUGAAUUGCAGAAUUCAGUGAAUCAUCGAGUCUUUGAACGCACAUUGCGCCCCCUGGUAUUCCGGGGGGCAUGCCUGUCCGAGCGUCAUUGCUGCCCUCAAGCACGGCUUGUGUGUUGGGCUUCCGUCCCUGGUAACGGGGACGGGCCCAAAAGGCAGUGGCGGCACCAUGUCUGGUCCUCGAGCGUAUGGGGCUUUGUCACCCGCUCCCGUAGGUCCAGCUGGCAGCUAGCCUCGCAACCAAUCUUUUUAACCAGGUUGACCUCGGAUCAGGUAGGGAUACCCGCUGACU